Molecule: transfer RNA, 77 nt
Filed under: Methylotenera sp.
Lineage: Bacteria; Pseudomonadati; Pseudomonadota; Betaproteobacteria; Nitrosomonadales; Methylophilaceae
Description: tRNA-Leu
Rfam family: tRNA
About the family: Transfer RNA (tRNA) molecules are approximately 80 nucleotides in length. Their secondary structure includes four short double-helical elements and three loops (D, anti-codon, and T loops).
Source: RNAcentral
GCCACAUUAGCCCAAUCGGUAGAGGCACAAGUUUUAGAUACUUGUCAGUGAGGGUUCGAAUCCCUUGUGUGGUACCA